CCAAACCCACUUUCCUCAAACUUCACCUUGCUUUCGUUCUACAAUUGUAGCUCACUCUCAAUCUCAAUCUCGUUCUCAAUCACAAUCUCAGUAAAACCAUUUUCAUCCGCGUUGCAGCUCACGAUUUCAUUUGAAUUUUCACUUUGCUUCCAAACGGAAUCCAAUUAUAGGUGCUGCAUUUUCUGAAAUCUAUAGUGCAUCUCCGUUGCUCGUUCAGUGGCUUUGCAUCUCCGUUGCGGGUGAAAUGGAGUAAUUGGUGAAUGAAGCAAUUUCUGAUUUUAAGAGUAGUUGCGCUACAAUGGCAAAAUAUGGAGUGGUACAAUUCUAAUUGUUGCUCCUCUCGGAAGUGAUUGAUUGUGUUAGCUCUUGCAUUGAGUUCCUUUGAGACAGAACUGAGGUUAUAUUUCAUUGGAUGUUUCCACCUUCAAAAGAUGAAGAAAACAUCAAUCAAGAGUAAUAGUUCGGAUGUACACACCACCCAUAAUGUAAUAUGUUAUAUGAUGUAAUAUGAACAUGAUAUAAUAUGUUUCAUUGUUGACGAUUUUGAGUUUGAUUUAAGUUUGUAUUAUUGUUAGGCAUGUUGUAAA
Long non-coding RNA from Vigna unguiculata (cowpea), 587 nucleotides. RefSeq lists it as uncharacterized. The record is from RefSeq and is a predicted model, not a curated record. Lineage: Eukaryota; Viridiplantae; Streptophyta; Magnoliopsida; Fabales; Fabaceae.